RNAcentral lists this ribosomal RNA (499 nucleotides) under uncultured bacterium. Its description in RNAcentral is "bacterial SSU rRNA". It matches the Rfam family "Bacterial small subunit ribosomal RNA", at positions 21 to 507 of the family's 1533-position model. The record is from RNAcentral.
GGCUCAGGAUGAACGCUAGCUACAGGCUUAACACAUGCAAGUCGAGGGGAAACGACAUCGAAAGCUUGCUUCCGAUAGGCGUCGACCGGCGCACGGGUGAGUAACGCGUAUCCAACCUGCCCACCACUUGGGGAUAACCUUGCGAAAGUAAGACUAAUACCCAAUGACGUCUCUAGAAGGCAUCUGAAAGGGAUUAAAGAUUCAUCGGUGAUGGAUGGGGAUGCGUCUGAUUAGCUUGUUGGCGGGGUAACGGCCCACCAAGGCAACGAUCAGUAGGGGUUCUGAGAGGAAGGUCCCCCACAUUGGAACUGAGACACGGUCCAAACUCCUACGGGAGGCAGCAGUGAGGAAUAUUGGUCAAUGGGCGAGAGCCUGAACCAGCCAAGUAGCGUGCAGGAUGACGGCCCUAUGGGUUGUAAACUGCUUUUAUAAGGGAAUAAAGUGAGCCUCGUGAGGCUUUUUGCAUGUACCUUAUGAAUAAGGACCGGCUAAUUCCGUG